AACGAACGCUGGCGGCAGGCCUAACACAUGCAAGUCGAGCGCGCCCUUCGGGGUGAGCGGCGGACGGGUGAGUAACGCGUGGGAACGUGCCCUUUUCUACGGAAUAGCCUCGGGAAACUGAGAGUAAUACCGUAUACGCCCUUUGGGGGAAAGAUUUAUCGGAAAAGGAUCGGCCCGCGUUGGAUUAGGUAGUUGGGGGGGUAAUGGCCUACCAAGCCGACGAUCCAUAGCUGGUUUGAGAGGAUGCUCAGCCACACUGGGACUGAGACCCGGCCCAGACUCCUACGGGAGGCAGCAGUGGGGAAUCUUAGACAAUGGGGGCAACCCUGAUCUCGCCAUGCCGCGUGAGUGAUGAAGGCCUUAGGGUUGUAAAGCUCUUUCAGCUGGGAAGAUAAUGACGGUACCAGCAGAAGAAGCCCCGGCUAACUCCGUG
This 433-nucleotide ribosomal RNA is filed under the name uncultured bacterium. Its description in RNAcentral is "partial 16S ribosomal RNA". It matches the Rfam family "Bacterial small subunit ribosomal RNA", at positions 29 to 507 of the family's 1533-position model. The record is from RNAcentral.